Molecule: transfer RNA, 64 nt
Filed under: Neurospora sublineolata FGSC 5508
Lineage: Eukaryota; Fungi; Ascomycota; Sordariomycetes; Sordariales; Sordariaceae
Description: tRNA-Met (CAT) (tRNA-Met-CAT-1-1)
Rfam family: tRNA
About the family: Transfer RNA (tRNA) molecules are approximately 80 nucleotides in length. Their secondary structure includes four short double-helical elements and three loops (D, anti-codon, and T loops).
Source: RNAcentral
NUUGGCGCAGUUGGCUAGCGCGCAGGUCUCAUAAUCCUGAGGUCGGGAGUUCGAGCCUCCCAGG